GUUUAAAUAGCUUAUAAAUGUAGAGCGUAACACUGAAGAUGUUAAGGGAGUUGUUCAACUUUUAAAUG
RNAcentral lists this transfer RNA (68 nucleotides) under Hexacentrus unicolor. Its description in RNAcentral is "tRNA-Phe". It matches the Rfam family "tRNA". From Rfam's summary of the family: Transfer RNA (tRNA) molecules are approximately 80 nucleotides in length. Their secondary structure includes four short double-helical elements and three loops (D, anti-codon, and T loops). Lineage: Eukaryota; Metazoa; Arthropoda; Insecta; Orthoptera; Tettigoniidae. The record is from RNAcentral.